RNAcentral lists this unclassified non-coding RNA (205 nucleotides) under fungal sp. Its description in RNAcentral is "partial internal transcribed spacer region". The stretch from base 1 to 46 matches the Rfam family "Eukaryotic small subunit ribosomal RNA", at positions 1786 to 1831 of the family's 1831-position model. Lineage: Eukaryota; Fungi. The record is from RNAcentral.
AAGUCGUAACAAGGUUUCCGUAGGUGAACCUGCGGAAGGAUCAUUAACACGUAUCCUAACGUUUAACCACCCGUGCACCUUCAAACCCUAACCACCCUUUUGGGACACGGUUUGUUGCCUGCGCUAACUUCUUCCAACGUUGAAAAUUAUACGGUCCAACUGGGUGGGAGCCCUCGCAAUAGGCGUAGCAGAUAUCUUGGCUCUC